Molecule: long non-coding RNA, 401 nt
Organism: Perca fluviatilis (European perch)
Lineage: Eukaryota; Metazoa; Chordata; Actinopteri; Perciformes; Percidae
Exons: 3
Source: RefSeq, a predicted model, not a curated record
UGCCGUGCUGAGAUCGCAGCUUCAGGACAUAGCUACUUCACAGCACAGUGGAGUAGCUAACGUUAGAUGCUGGCUAUAUUGGCAGUCAUAAAAGCCUGUGAUCAUGCGGAGCUCUGUACCCAACCGACAGACAUGCUUUUUCAUCUUAGAAUUAUGUGCUUGGCGUUGUUUCCAGGUCCCAGGGGUUUAAGGCCCAGACAGGUGACACAACCUCAACUGAGUGCUUUGCCUGGUCCAACAAUGUAUGAAAGCCAAAAGAGAGAGGGAGGUGGUGUCUGCCAUUCGUGGGGAGUGAGAGGUCAUCUGGAAUAUUCUCCGUGAGCACGAUGCUCCCGUCCCACUCUGAUGUCUUCACUCUAUGCCGCCGUCUUCAUCCUGCUGGUUCCUCACUGUCCUGGAAG